GAUAAACGCUGGCGGCGUGCCUAAUACAUGCAAGUCGAGCGAACGGACGAGAAGCUUGCUUCUCUGAUGUUAGCGGCGGACGGGUGAGUAACACGUGGACAACCUACCUAUAAGACUGGGGUAACUUCGGGAAACCGGAGCUAAUACCGGAUAAUAUUUUGAACCGCAUGGUUCAAAAGUGAAAGACGGUCUUGCUGUCACUUAUAGAUGGAUCCGCGCUGCAUUAGCUAGUUGGUAAGGUAACGGCUUACCAAGGCAACGAUGCAUAGCCGACCUGAGAGGGUGAUCGGCCACACUGGAACUGAGACACGGUCCAGACUCCUACGGGAGGCAGCAGUAGGGAAUCUUCCGCAAUGGGCGAAAGCCUGACGGAGCAACGCCGCGUGAGUGAUGAAGGUCUUCGGAUCGUAAAACUCUGUUAUUAGGGAAGAACAUAUGUGUAAGUAACUGUGCACAUCUUGACGGUACCUAAUCAGAAAGCCACGGCUAACUACGUGCCAGCAGCCGCGGUAAUACGUAGGUGGCAAGCGUUAUCCGGAAUUAUUGGGCGUAAAGCGCGCGUAGCGGUUUUUUAAGUCUGAUGUGAAAGCCCACGGCUCAACCGUGGAGGGUCAUUGGAAACUGGAAAACUUGAGUGCAGAAGAGGAAAGUGGAAUUCCAUGUGUAGCGGUGAAAUGCGCAGAGAUAUGGAGGAACACCAGUGGCGAAGGCGACUUUCUGGUCUGCAACUGACGCUGAUGUGCGAAAGCGUGGGGAUCAAACAGGAUUGGAUACCCUGGUAGUCCACGCCGUAAACGAUGAGUGCUAAGUGUUAGGGGGUUUCCGCCCCUUAGUGCUGCAGCUAACGCAUUAAGCACUCCGCCUGGGGAGUACGACCGCAAGGUUGAAACUCAAAGGAAUUGACGGGGACCCGCACAAGCGGUGGAGCAUGUGGUUUAAUUCGAAGCAACGCGAAGAACCUUACCAAAUCUUGACAUCCUUUGACAACUCUAGAGAUAGAGCCUUCCCCUUCGGGGGACAAAGUGACAGGUGGUGCAUGGUUGUCGUCAGCUCGUGUCGUGAGAUGUUGGGUUAAGUCCCGCAACGAGCGCAACCCUUAAGCUUAGUUGCCAUCAUUAAGUUGGGCACUCUAAGUUGACUGCCGGUGACAAACCGGAGGAAGGUGGGGAUGACGUCAAAUCAUCAUGCCCCUUAUGAUUUGGGCUACACACGUGCUACAAUGGACAAUACAAAGGGCAGCGAAACCGCGAGGUCAAGCAAAUCCCAUAAAGUUGUUCUCAGUUCGGAUUGUAGUCUGCAACUCGACUACAUGAAGCUGGAAUCGCUAGUAAUCGUAGAUCAGCAUGCUACGGUGAAUACGUUCCCGGGUCU
Molecule: ribosomal RNA, 1371 nt
Filed under: uncultured bacterium
Lineage: Bacteria
Description: bacterial SSU rRNA
Rfam family: Bacterial small subunit ribosomal RNA
Source: RNAcentral